CCUACGGGAGGCAGCAGUGGGGAAUAUUGCACAAUGGGGGGAACCCUGAUGCAGCGACGCCGCGUGAGUGAAGAAGUAUUUCGGUAUGUAAAGCUCUAUCAGCAGGGAAGAAAAUGACGGUACCUGACUAAGAAGCCCCGGCUAACUACGUGCCAGCAGCCGCGGUAAUACGUAGGGGGCAAGCGUGAUCCGGAUUUACUGGGUGUAAAGGGAGCGUAGUCGGGUAUGCAAGUCUGAAGUGAAAGCCCACGGCUCAACCAUGGGACUGCUGUGGAAACUGUAAAACUGGAGUGCAGGAGAGGUAAGCGGAAUUCCUAGUGUAGCGGUGAAAUGCGUAGAUAUUAGGAGGAACACCAGUGGCGAAGGCGGCUUACUGGACUGUAACUGACGUUGAGGCUCGAAGGCGUGGGGAGCAAACAGGAUUAGAUACCCCUGUAGUC
This 440-nucleotide ribosomal RNA is filed under the name uncultured bacterium. Its description in RNAcentral is "partial 16S ribosomal RNA". It matches the Rfam family "Bacterial small subunit ribosomal RNA", at positions 338 to 795 of the family's 1533-position model. The record is from RNAcentral.